Molecule: long non-coding RNA, 461 nt
Organism: Sardina pilchardus (European sardine)
Lineage: Eukaryota; Metazoa; Chordata; Actinopteri; Clupeiformes; Clupeidae
Exons: 5
Source: RefSeq, a predicted model, not a curated record
UGCGUGACUACUGGAUGUGGCGCCGGUAAAAAAAUAGAAAAUGAUCGUUGUGUGCCCUGUGAAAAGGAUAAAUACAGAAAUGCUGACUUUGAAUAUGGUCACUGUAGACCUUGUCUUCAAUGUAGACAAGGUUCAAAAGUGAAGUCUCCUUGCACAGCAGGGACUAAUACUGAAUGUGAUUGCAUCGAAGGAUUCACUCCUCGUUCUUCAAAAAAAGAUACAUGUUAUUGUGGCAAAGGAUCUGGAAUUGAUUCUACAGGGAGAUGCUCGACAUGUGAGGAUGGGUUCUUCAGCGAUAAAGCUGAUGAAUCGUCAAAGUGUCAAAAAUGGACAGAUUGUGGGUCGCUAGGUGUUAAGGUCAAAGGCAGUGCUUCUUCUGAUGUUACUUGCCACACUGCUACUGAAGGGACAGACACUGUGGUUCCUUCCUCAUCCCCAAGACUCACAACAAAGGCAUUUAU